UACGUAGGGUGCAAGCGUUGUCCGGAAUUAUUGGGCGUAAAGAGCUCGUAGGCGGUUUGUCGCGUCGGCUGUGAAAACUCGGGGCUCAACCCCGAGCCUGCAGUCGAUACGGGCAAACUAGAGUGUGGUAGGGGAGACUGGAAUUCCUGGUGUAGCGGUGAAAUGCGCAGAUAUCAGGAGGGACACCGGCGGCGAAGGCGGGUCUCUGGGCCAUAACUGACGCUGAGGAGCGAAAGCGUGGGGGAGCGAACAGG
Molecule: ribosomal RNA, 254 nt
Filed under: uncultured bacterium
Lineage: Bacteria
Description: partial 16S ribosomal RNA
Rfam family: Bacterial small subunit ribosomal RNA
Source: RNAcentral